Molecule: ribosomal RNA, 243 nt
Filed under: uncultured bacterium
Lineage: Bacteria
Description: partial 16S ribosomal RNA
Rfam family: Bacterial small subunit ribosomal RNA
Source: RNAcentral
GAUCAUGGCUCAGGAUGAACGCUAGCGGCAGGCCUAACACAUGCAAGUCGAGGGGCAGCAUAAAAGUAGUAAUACUUUUGAUGGCGACCGGCGCACGGGUGCGUAACGCGUAUGCAACCUACCCAGAACAGGGGGAUAACACUGAGAAAUUGGUACUAAUAUCCCAUAAUAUCAUGAAGGGCAUCCUUUAUGGUUGAAAACUCCGGUGGUUCUGGAUGGGCAUCCGUUGUAUUAGCUAGUUGG